CUGCGACGAAAUUCAAAGGACCUUGUGGUGAUAAGCUGAUUGUCCAGGUAACGAUGGCAAAUCAGAGUUAACUGCAUAUGAUCAAGUUUCAUCAAGCAUUUCACAGAUGAUAUGAUUUUAUUCAGAUUGAUGGAACAAUAAUAGCACCGGACGAACCGGAGAGCUGGGAUCAAGAUCUUGCGAGAUUAUGGCUUGACUUCAGUAAGCUGAGUGGGGUUGUCUUCCAAGGGAAUGGAGUCAUUGAUGGCUCUGGCAGUAAAUGGUGGGCUGCUUCCUGUAAAAAGAACAAGACAAAUGCAAGUUCAUUGAUUUCUUCAACCAUUUUUUAUUCUUUAUAUAUUAACAGAAGUAAAAUCUUACACUGGUUUCUUUCUCUGUGUUUUAUGCAGCCUUGCAAAGCAGCACCAACUGUAAGAGGCUCUCUCUUUCUCCCUUUACGAAGCUUUUGAAGCUUAAUGAACAAUUAUGAUUUUUUUUGCAGGCAAUAACCAUUGAUUCCAGCAAUGGAGUGAAAGUCAAAGGGCUGACCAUCAAGAACAGCCAACAGAUGAAUUUCGUGAUUUCAAAAUCCAGCUCAGUCCGAGUCUCUGACGUGUUAGUCUCAGCUCCUGGAGACAGUCCCAACACAGACGGGAUCCACAUUACUCAGUCAAGUGAUGUUGUUCUCCAAAACUGCAAAAUCGGAACAGGUUCAAUGCUGUUAAAAGAAAGUAACAAGCUUUAAUGAGACAAGAAUGUAGUUUAGUUAAUGCCAGAACCUUUCACUUACACAUUCAGGGGAUGAUUGUGUCUCCAUCGUCAAUGGUAGUUCCAACAUCAGGAUGAAGAGACUCUAUUGUGGACCUGGACAUGGCAUCAGGUAAUUUCCAUGGCAAAAAGGGAGAAAAUAAUUCAGGCUUAUGCUUAAUCAACCACUUGUUGAUGUUUUUCUCCUCCUGCUUAGCAUU
This 947-nucleotide long non-coding RNA is filed under the name Linum usitatissimum (flax). RNAcentral describes it as "long non-coding RNA (LUSI_LNC008187)". Lineage: Eukaryota; Viridiplantae; Streptophyta; Magnoliopsida; Malpighiales; Linaceae. The record is from RNAcentral.